AGUGAACGCUGGCGGCAGGCCUAACACAUGCAAGUCGAACGGCAGCACAGCAGUAGCAAUACUGUGGGUGGCGAGUGGCGGACGGGUGAGGAAUACAUGGGAAUCUACCCUGUCGUGGGGGAGUAACGUAGGGAAACGUUAACGCUAAUACCGCAUACGACCGAGAGGUGAAAGCGGCGGACCGCAAGGCGUCGCGCGACUGGAUGAGCCCACUGUCGGAUUA
This 223-nucleotide ribosomal RNA is filed under the name uncultured bacterium. RNAcentral's name for it is "partial 16S ribosomal RNA". It matches the Rfam family "Bacterial small subunit ribosomal RNA", at positions 29 to 243 of the family's 1533-position model. The record is from RNAcentral.